AUGUUUCCACUGCCUUUGUUGCUUCUUCUGCUGCAUUCGCUCUGGCCAGCAUCAAGCAUUUCAGCCUUCUCAGCUGCAGAGAUAUUCAGCAUCAGCAAUGAGACUGACAUGGAUUCCUUGCUGGCACUCAAGACUAGUCUCGGUGACCAGUCAGGUGUGCUAUCCUCCUGGAACGCAAGUGGUGACUUGUGUCGAUGGCUAGGUGUGGUAUGCAGCCUCAGACACAAGCAAAGGGUCUUGAAACUGAAUCUCUCCUCGGCUGGCCUCUUCGGCACAAUUGCUCCUUCCAUUGGGAACCUCACGUACCUCGCUCAUGUAGACCUCAGUUCAAAUGCACUUCAUGGUGGAUUUCCGGCGACGAUUGGGCGCCUGCAUCGGUUGCGGUAUCUUGACUUGUCACACAACUCACUUCAAGGCGAGAUCCCAGAUAGCUUGAUGAACUGCACCAAAUUUACAAGCAUCGCCCUUUAUUCCAACCGACUCACCGGAGAAAUCCCUGCUUGGCUUGGAGGUUUAUCCAACCUUGAGUACAUUUACCUAGAAGCCAACAACUUCACUGGGGCCAUCCCGCCAUCACUCGCCAACCUCUCGUCCCUGCAGGAACUCUAUUUCUCACGAAACCAUCUUGAGGACACCAUUCCUGAGGGCAUUGGUAGGCUCGGUAUGCUUCAGUACGUUGCACUGGGAGAAAACCACCUCGUGGGCACCAUCCCCGCAACUUUCUUCAACCUUUCUUCGCUGGCUCAGCUCGGAGUGACAAACAAUGAACUUGAGGGAACGCUGCCGUCUAACCUGGGGAAUAACUUGCCAAAUCUCCAGGCCCUCUACCUUGACUUAAACCACUUCACAGGAAGAGUUCCAGCUUCACUAGCAAAUGUGACCACCGUAGAUGUUCUAGACAUCUCGCUCAAUAACUUCACUGGAAAAUUGCCUCCAGAGAUUGGAAAGCUCUGCCCGGAUAUCUUAUCUCUCAGCAGAAACCAACUUGAGAUAAGCACUGUUCAGGACUGGGAGUUCAUCACCUUCUUGUCCAACUGCACAUACCUCCGUGUACUUGAUCUUGGUUACAACCAUUUUACUGGGGAACUUCCGAGCUCAUUUGCCAACCUGUCAGCUCAUCUCCAGCUGUUGUCGGUUGAAGCAAACGAUAUCUAUGGGAAGAUACCUGUCCACAUUGGCAACCUUUUGGGGCUACUUGAGGUGUCAUUUUCCAACAACCGAUUUGCUGGAGUCCUACCUGACAGCAUUGGAAGGCUAAAAAUGCUAACAGUAUUGGACCUCCAAAAUAACCUACUAUCGGGGAUCAUUCCGUCAUCGCUUGGGAACCUAACACAGAUGCAACAGUUGUUUGUGAAUGGGAAUAACUUUGAGGGACCUAUUCCACGAAGCCUUGGGAACCUGCAACAGUUAAUUACUGCAAACUUUUCGAGCAACCAGUUCACCAGUUCAUUGCCUAGAGAGAUUUUUAGCAUACCAUCUUUGUCAAAUGCUCUUGAUUUGUCAAACAAUCAUUUGGUUGGUAUUCUUCCGUCUGAAGUUGGCAUACUCAAGAAGGCCACCUUCUUGUACUUGUCUCGAAACAACUUGUCUGGGGUACUGCCCGAUGCUUUGAGCAACUGCCAAAGCUUGGUGGGCCUCCAUUUGGACAGCAACUCCUUUAGCGGCAGCAUCCCUAUGCCUAUGAGCAAUGUGCAUGGUUUGGUAAUAUUAAACCUCUCAAGAAACAAGCUUUCAGGCAUGAUUCCUCAAGAAUUAGGACGCAUGAAGGGACUAGAAAAGUUGCAUCUUGCACACAACUACUUAUCUGGAAAGAUCCCCGAGUCAUUCGAAAACAUGACCAAACUGUACCAAUUGGACUUAUCCUUCAACCAUUUGGAGGGUAAAGUUCCAGUGCAUGGUGUGUUUGCUAACAUAAGUGGAUUCUCCUUUGCUGGGAACAAUGGUCUCUGUGGUGGUAUCCUGCAACUGCACUUGCCUUCAUGUCCAGCUGAACCUUCAAAGCAUAGUCAAAGGAAACAUCAUGUCAUUCUAAAAGCAGUGAUUCCAGUCGCUAGCAUCAUAUUGUUCACAAUAUUAACAUUUUUAUCAUUUUUCUUGAGAAAGAAAUUGAGAGGUCGGUCGAUAGAAAAAACAAAAACUGCUCCACCAUUAAUGAAUGAAAUGUACCCUAGAGUUUCUUACGAUGAACUUGUCCAAGGAACAGAUGGUUUUGCUAGAAACAAUUUGAUCGGCAUAGGAAGAUAUGGUUCAGUGUAUAAGGGGAAUUUACUGCUGAAGAAUACAAUAACUGAAGUUGCUAUUAAGGUUUUUGAUCUUCAGCAGCCUCACUCUUCCAGGAGUUUUCUAGCAGAGUGUGAGGUGCUCAGUAAGGUCCGCCAUCGUAAUUUGGACAGUGUGAUAACCUGCUGUGCUAGCUUGGACUCGAAGAGGAAUGACUUCAAAGCCCUUGUGCUUGAAUUCAUGCCUAACGGGAGCCUAGAUACGUGGUUGCAUCCAAGUCUACAUGUACAAGAGAGGCAAUGCUUGAAGCUGAUGCAAAGGUUGAACAUUGUUGUUGAUAUUGCUGAUGCACUCGACUACCUGCAUAACAACUGUGAGCCACCAAUUGUACACUGUGACCUGAAGCCAAGCAACAUCCUUCUUGAUGAGAAUUUGGGUGCCCAUAUUGGGGAUUUUGGUCUUGCAAAGAUCCUUUCAAAUCCAGUUGGUGAGAAACCGAUCAGAUCGAAAAGUACCAUCGCCAUACGAGGAACCAUUGGAUAUGUUGCACCAGAAUAUGGGGAAGGUGGUCAAGUAUCUGUGCGCGGAGAUGUGUACAGCUUCGGAAUUGUCCUCCUCGAGAUGUCUACUGGGAAGUCACCUACUCAUGACAUGUUCAGGGACGGGUUAACGUUGCAGAACUAUGUGGAGGCGGCAUUCCCUGAUGGGCUUAUGAAGGUCUUUGAUCCAUUAUUGUUGGCAACAGAAGAAGUUCCUGCGAAUGAUUUGUGUGAGGGAAGCAGCUCACUCAGAGAUCCAUGUAAUGUCCUGACCUUCGUUACAAGAGUGGCACUGCUGUGUUGUAAUCAAGCACCAGCAGAAAGGAUGCUUAUGAGAGAUGCUGCAGCCGAGCUCCACAGGAUCAGGGCUCGACCCAUCACAACACCAAUUGAUCAGUUUGUUCUUGAGUGA
RNAcentral lists this ribosomal RNA (3171 nucleotides) under Triticum aestivum (bread wheat). RNAcentral describes it as "partial small subunit ribosomal RNA". The record is from RNAcentral. Lineage: Eukaryota; Viridiplantae; Streptophyta; Magnoliopsida; Poales; Poaceae.